UGGGGAAUUUUGGACAAUGGGGGAAACCCUGAUCCAGCCAUCCCGCGUGUGCGAUGAAGGCCUUCGGGUUGUAAAGCACUUUUGGCAGGAAAGAAACGUCAUGGGUUAAUACCCCGGGAAACUGACGGUACCUGCAGAAUAAGCACCGGCUAACUACGUGCCAGCAGCCGCGGUAAUACGUAGGGUGCAAGCGUUAAUCGGAAUUACUGGGCGUAAAGCGUGCGCAGGCGGUUCGGAAAGAAAGAUGCGAAAUCCCAGAGCUCAACUUUGGAACUGCAUUUUUAACUACCGGGCUAGAGUGUGUCAGAGGGAGGUGGAAUUCCGCGUGUAGCAGUGAAAUGCGUAGAUAUGCGGAGGAACACCGAUGGCGAAGGCAGCCUCCUGGGAUAACACUGACGCUCAUGCACGAAAGCGUGGGGAGCAAACAGG
This 429-nucleotide ribosomal RNA is filed under the name Acidobacteriota bacterium. RNAcentral's name for it is "Acidobacteria bacterium partial 16S ribosomal RNA". It matches the Rfam family "Bacterial small subunit ribosomal RNA", at positions 355 to 776 of the family's 1533-position model. The record is from RNAcentral. Lineage: Bacteria; Pseudomonadati; Acidobacteriota.